UAGUAACUGCGAGUGAAGCGGGAAAAGUUCAAAUUUAAANUCUNGUAGUCUUUGGCUGCCCGAGUUGUAAUCUAGAGAAGUGUUAUCCGCGCUGGACCGUGUACAAGUCUCCUGGAAUGGAGCGUCAUAGAGGGUGAGAAUCCCGUCUNUGACACGGACUGCCAGGGCUUUGUGAUGCGCUCUCAAAGAGUCGAGUUGUUUGGGAAUGCAGCUCUAAAUGGGUGGUAAAUUCCAUCUAAAGCUAAAUAUUGGCGAGAGACCGAUAGCGAACAAGUACCGUGAGGGAAAGAUGAAAAGAACUUUGGAAAGAGAGUUAAACAGUACGUGAAAUUGUUGAAAGGGAAACGCUUGAAGUCAGUCGCGUUGGCCGGGGAUCAACCUUGCUUUUCUGCUUGGUGUACUUCCUGGUUGAUGGGUCAGCAUCAAUUUUGACCAGUGGAAAAAGGUCAGGGGAAUGUGGCAUCUUCGGAUGUGUUAUAGCCCUUGGUUGCAUACAUUGGUUGGGAUUGAGGAACUCAGCACGCCGCAAGGCCGGGUUUUUACCACGUUCGUGCUUAGGAUGCUGGCAUAAUGGCUUUAAUCGACC
RNAcentral lists this ribosomal RNA (586 nucleotides) under uncultured fungus. RNAcentral describes it as "eukaryotic LSU rRNA". It matches the Rfam family "Eukaryotic large subunit ribosomal RNA", at positions 81 to 649 of the family's 3401-position model. The record is from RNAcentral. Lineage: Eukaryota; Fungi.